UCUCGCCAGAGGCAUUGCUGGGUAGCUAAAUGCGGAAGAGAUAAGUGCUGAAAGCAUCUAAGCACGAAACUUGCCAAGAGAUGAGUCAUCCCUGACUUUAAGUCAGUAAGGGUUGUUGUAGACGACGACGUAGAUAGGUUGGGUGUGUAAGUGUAGUGAUACAUUGAGCUAACCAAUACUAAUUGCCCGAGAGGCUUAACCAUACAACGCUCAAG
RNAcentral lists this ribosomal RNA (215 nucleotides) under Pasteurella multocida subsp. multocida. RNAcentral describes it as "partial 23S ribosomal RNA". It matches the Rfam family "Bacterial large subunit ribosomal RNA", at positions 2724 to 2925 of the family's 2925-position model. The record is from RNAcentral. Lineage: Bacteria; Pseudomonadati; Pseudomonadota; Gammaproteobacteria; Pasteurellales; Pasteurellaceae.